UAAAAACCAAUGAGGAGAUGGGAGAGGCGGGACUUGCAGCACAUCAAGCCUAAAAAUAAAAUGUUAUAUUUUAUUGCCUGGUUACGCAAACGCUCGUUUGGAUAAAGUGAUUGAAUAACGUGUAAAUUUAUUUUGCAACGCUCGCGCACGUAACRCAAGCGGUGUGGUCAGCAUGUUACAGAAUUAUUGAUGUACUACUGCAGAUCCUGCCUUACAGAAUGCUUACCAGUGUGUCUGAUGUAGGAGCUGCUGAAAUGUUUCUCUCCUAACAGAAUGCCACACAGAAAAUGAAAUUAAGGCUCGUGAUCCAAUCAGAUGCAGAGAGUGUGGAUACAGAAUCAUGUACAAGAAGAGAACAAAGAGAUUGGUUGUGUGUUGACGCUCGAUGAAGUUGACGACAACAUUGACUAGGCACAUUUUUAUUAUGUUUGUUUUUAGGGUGUCACAGUGUAAAUAAAUUUGAUUACAAAUCA
Salvelinus sp. IW2-2015 is the source of this 473-nucleotide non-coding RNA. NCBI's taxonomy places the organism in Eukaryota, Metazoa, Chordata, Actinopteri, Salmoniformes, Salmonidae. The record is from RefSeq and is a predicted model, not a curated record.